AGAACGAACGCUGGCGGCGCGCCUAACACAUGCAAGUCGGACGCACUCGGUCCUUCGGGGCCGGAUGAGUGGCGGACGGGUGAGUAACACGUGGGAACCUGCCUCAGGGUCCGGGAUAGCUGCGGGAAACUGCAGGUAACACCGGAUGCGCCCUGGUCCGUGAGGGCUGGGGGAAAAGAGAUGCCCUGGGAUGGGCCCGCGCCGGAUUAGGUAGUUGGUGGGGUAACGGCCUACCAAGCCUGCGAUCCGUAGCCGGUCUGAGAGGAUGAUCGGCCACACUGGGACUGAGACACGGCCCAGACUCCUACGGGAGGCAGCAGUGGGGAAUCUUGGACAAUGGGGGCAACCCUGAUCCAGCGACGCCGCGUGGGUGAUGAAGGCCUUCGGGUCGUAAAGCCCUUUUGCCGGGAAGAUGAUGACGGUACCCGGAGAAGAAGCACCGGCUAACUCUGUGCCAGCAGCCGC
Molecule: ribosomal RNA, 465 nt
Filed under: uncultured bacterium
Lineage: Bacteria
Description: SSU rRNA
Rfam family: Bacterial small subunit ribosomal RNA
Source: RNAcentral